UACGAAGGGGGCUAGCGUUGCUCGGAAUUACUGGGCGUAAAGCGCACGUAGGCGGCUCUUUAAGUCGGAGGUGAAAUCCUGGAGCUCAACUCCAGAACUGCCUUCGAUACUGAAGAGCUCGAGUUCGGGAGAGGUGAGUGGAACUGCGAGUGUAGAGGUGAAAUUCGUAGAUAUUCGCAAGAACACCAGUGGCGAAGGCGGCUCACUGGCCCGAUACUGACGCUGAGGCACGAAAGCGUGGGGAGCAAACAGG
RNAcentral lists this ribosomal RNA (253 nucleotides) under uncultured bacterium. RNAcentral's name for it is "partial 16S ribosomal RNA". It matches the Rfam family "Bacterial small subunit ribosomal RNA", at positions 524 to 776 of the family's 1533-position model. The record is from RNAcentral.